This is a long non-coding RNA of Sebastes umbrosus (honeycomb rockfish), 883 nucleotides long. RefSeq lists it as uncharacterized. NCBI's taxonomy places the organism in Eukaryota, Metazoa, Chordata, Actinopteri, Perciformes, Sebastidae. The record is from RefSeq and is a predicted model, not a curated record. The transcript has 3 exons.
GCAGGUGGAGGCUGCAGUUUGCUGGCAGAGGCUGUAGGUGGUGGUUUGGUCUGCAGCUGUCUGCCAGAAUCUGCAGGUGGAGGCAGGGCCUGCAGGAUACUGGCAGAGGCUGUAGGUGGUUGUUUGGUCAGCAGCUGUCUGCCAGAAUCUGGAGGUGGAGGCUGGGCCUGCAGGUUACUGGCAGAGGCUGUAGGUGGUGGUUUGGUCUGCAGCUGUCUGCCAGAAUCUGCAGGUGGAGGCUGCAUGUUACUGCCGGAGGCUGUAGGUGGUGGUUUGGUCUGCAGCUGUCUACCAGAAUCUGCAGGUGAAGGCUGCAGGUUACUGGCAGAGGCUGUAGGUGGAUGUUUGGUCUGCGGCUGUCUGCCAGAAUCUGCAGGUGGAGGCGCCUGCAGGUUACUGGCAGAGGCUGUAGGUGGUGGUUUGGUCUGCAGCUAUCCACCAGAAUCUGGAGGUGGAGGCAGGGCCUGCAGGAUACUGGCAGAGGCUGUAGGUGGCUGUUUGGUCAGCAGCUGUCUGCCAGAAUCUGGAGGUGGAGGCUGGGCCUGCAGGUUACUGGCGGAGGCUGUAGGUGGUGGUUUGGUCUGCAGCUGUCUGCCAGAAUCUGUCGGUGGAGGCUACAGGUUACUGGCGUAGGCUGUAGGUGGUGGUUUGGUCUGCAGCUGUCUGCCAGAAUAUGCAGGUGGAGGCUGCAGGUUGCUGGCAGAGGCUGUAGGUGGUGGUUUGGUCAGCAGCUGUCUGCCAGAAUCUGGUGGUGGAGGCUGCAGGUUACCGGCAGAGGCUGUAGGUGGUGGUUUGGUCUGCAGCUGUCUGCCAGAAUCUGCAGGUGGAGGCUGCAGGUUACUGGCAGAGGCUGUAGGUGGUGGUUUGGUCUGCAGCUGUCUGC